GUGGGGAAUAUUGGACAAUGGGCGCAAGCCUGAUCCAGCCAUGCCGCGUGAGUGAUGAAGGCCCUAGGGUUGUAAAGCUCUUUCACCGAUGAAGAUAAUGACGGUAGUCGGAGAAGAAGCCCCGGCUAACUUCGUGCCAGCAGCCGCGGUAAUACGAAGGGGGCUAGCGUUGUUCGGAAUUACUGGGCGUAAAGCGCACGUAGGCGGAUAUUUAAGUCAGGGGUGAAAUCCCAGAGCUCAACUCUGGAACUGCCUUUGAUACUGGGUAUCUCGAGUAUGGAAGAGGUGAGUGGAAUUCCGAGUGUAGAGGUGAAAUUCGUAGAUAUUCGGAGGAACACCAGUGGCGAAGGCGGCUCACUGGUCCAUUACUGACGCUGAGGUGCGAAAGCGUGGGGAGCAAACAGGAUUAGAUACCCUAGUAGUCC
This 425-nucleotide ribosomal RNA is filed under the name uncultured bacterium. Its description in RNAcentral is "bacterial SSU rRNA". It matches the Rfam family "Bacterial small subunit ribosomal RNA", at positions 354 to 796 of the family's 1533-position model. The record is from RNAcentral.